RNAcentral lists this ribosomal RNA (252 nucleotides) under uncultured Coprobacillus sp. RNAcentral's name for it is "partial 16S ribosomal RNA". It matches the Rfam family "Bacterial small subunit ribosomal RNA", at positions 524 to 776 of the family's 1533-position model. Lineage: Bacteria; Bacillati; Bacillota; Erysipelotrichia; Erysipelotrichales; Coprobacillaceae. The record is from RNAcentral.
UACGUAGGUGGCGAGCGUUAUCCGGAAUCAUUGGGCGUAAAGAGGGAGCAGGCGGCAGCAAGGGUCUGCGGUGAAAGACCGAAGCUAAACUUCGGUAAGCCGUGGAAACCGGGCAGCUAGAGAGCAUCAGAGGAUCGCGGAAUUCCAUGUGUAGCGGUGAAAUGCGUAGAUAUCAGGAGGAACACCAGUGGCGAAGGCGGCUUACUGGACUGUAACUGACGUUGAGGCUCGAAAGCGUGGGGAGCAAACAGG